UGGGGAAUUUUGGACAAUGGGGGCAACCCUGAUCCAGCCAUCCCGCGUGUGCGAUGAAGGCCUUCGGGUUGUAAAGCACUUUUGGCAGGGAAGAAACAGCCUGGGAUAAUACCCCGGGCGACUGACGGUACCUGCAGAAUAAGCACCGGCUAACUACGUGCCAGCAGCCGCGGUAAUACGUAGGGUGCAAGCGUUAAUCGGAAUUACUGGGCGUAAAGCGUGCGCAGGCGGUUCGGAAAGAAAGGUGUGAAAUCCCAGGGCUUAACCUUGGAACUGCACUUUUAACUACCGAGCUAGAGUACGUCAGAGGGGGGUAGAAUUCCACGUGUAGCAGUGAAAUGCGUAGAGAUGUGGAGGAAUACCGAUGGCGAAGGCAGCCCCCUGGGAUGAUACUGACGCUCAUGCACGAAAGCGUGGGGAGCAAACAGGAUUAGAUACCCUGGUAGUCCACGCCCUAAACGAUGUCAACUAGCUGUUGGGGGCUUUAUUAACCUUAGUAGCGCAGCUAACGCGUGAAGUUGACCGCCUGGGGAGUACGGUCGCAAGAUUAAAACUC
RNAcentral lists this ribosomal RNA (556 nucleotides) under uncultured bacterium. RNAcentral's name for it is "partial 16S ribosomal RNA". It matches the Rfam family "Bacterial small subunit ribosomal RNA", at positions 355 to 902 of the family's 1533-position model. The record is from RNAcentral.